This 279-nucleotide unclassified non-coding RNA is filed under the name plant metagenome. Its description in RNAcentral is "partial contains small subunit ribosomal RNA, internal transcribed spacer 1, and 5.8S ribosomal RNA". The record is from RNAcentral.
UUUCCGUAGGUGAACCAGCGGAAGGAUCAUUAUAGUAUAACCGAGGUGCGAGGUCUUUCGCUGACCCGAUAUGUCGUGCAGGCCCGAGUGCCCUCACACACAUCCAUGGCACCCCUAGGUGCACAACCGCGUGGGCCCCCCUUUGGCCUGUGCGGAGGGGGGCUUACGGUUUCAUACAGACUUAGUAUGCAGUGUAGAAGGAAUUCUUUGUUUUUGCGAACACGUAAUCAAUACAACUUUCAACAAAGGAACACUUGGCUUUCGCAUCGCUGAAGAACG